CAGCAGCCGCGGGAAUACGAAGGGGGCUAGCGUUGUUCGGAAUUACUGGGCGUAAAGCGCACGCAGGCGGCUCGAUAAAUUAGAAGUGAAAGCCUUGGGCUUAACCUGAGAAUUGCUUUUAAGACUGUCGAGCUAGAAUCCAGAAGAGGGUAGUGGAAUUCCGAGUGUAGAGGUGAAAUUCGUAGAUAUUCGGAAGAACACCAGUGGCGAAGGCGACUACCUGGUCUGGCAUUGACGCUCAUGUGCGAAAGCGUGGGGAGCAAACAGGAUUAGAUACCCGCGUAGUCCCUGUCUCUUAUAC
This 301-nucleotide ribosomal RNA is filed under the name uncultured bacterium. RNAcentral describes it as "partial 16S ribosomal RNA". It matches the Rfam family "Bacterial small subunit ribosomal RNA", at positions 509 to 807 of the family's 1533-position model. The record is from RNAcentral.